CUUCCGUAGGUGAACCUGCGGAGGGAUCAUUACAGAGUUGCAAAACUCCCUA
This 52-nucleotide ribosomal RNA is filed under the name Chaetomium globosum. RNAcentral's name for it is "partial 18S ribosomal RNA". Lineage: Eukaryota; Fungi; Ascomycota; Sordariomycetes; Sordariales; Chaetomiaceae. The record is from RNAcentral.